CCUACGGGGGGCUGCAGUGAGGAAUAUUGGUCAAUGGACGAGAGUCUGAACCAGCCAAGUAGCGUGAAGGAUGACUGCCCUAUGGGUUGUAAACUUCUUUUAUAUGGGAAUAAAACGUUCCACGUGUGGGAUUUUGUAUGUACCAUAUGCAUAAGGAUCGGCUAACUCCGUGCCAGCAGCCGCGGUAAUACGGAGGAUCCGAGCGUUAUCCGGAUUUAUUGGGUUUAAGGGGAGCGUAGGUGGAUUGUUAAGUCAGUUGUGAAAGUUUGCGGCUCAACCGUAAAAUUGCAGUUGAAACUGGCAGUCUUGAGUACAGUAGAGGUGGGCGGAAUUCGUGGUGUAGCGGUGAAAUGCUUAGAUAUCACGAAGAACUCCGAUUGCGAAGGCAGUUCACUGGACUGCAACUGACACUGAGGCUCGAAAGUGUGGGUAUCAAACAGGAUUAGAUACCCUUGUAGUC
Molecule: ribosomal RNA, 460 nt
Filed under: uncultured bacterium
Lineage: Bacteria
Description: partial 16S ribosomal RNA
Rfam family: Bacterial small subunit ribosomal RNA
Source: RNAcentral